GAGUUUGAUCAUGGCUCAGAUUGAACGCUGGCGGCAGGCCUAACACAUGCAAGUCGAGCGGUAACAGAAAGUAGCUUGCUACUUUGCUGACGAGCGGCGGACGGGUGAGUAAUGCUUGGGAACAUGCCUUGAGGUGGGGGACAACAGUUGGAAACGACUGCUAAUACCGCAUAAUGUCUACGGACCAAAGGGGGCUUCGGCUCUCGCCUUUAGAUUGGCCCAAGUGGGAUUAGCUAGUUGGUGAGGUAAUGGCUCACCAAGGCAACGAUCCCUAGCUGGUUUGAGAGGAUGAUCAGCCACACUGGAACUGAGACACGGUCCAGACUCCUACGGGAGGCAGCAGUGGGGAAUAUUGCACAAUGGGCGAAAGCCUGAUGCAGCCAUGCCGCGUGUGUGAAGAAGGCCUUCGGGUUGUAAAGCACUUUCAGUCAGGAGGAAAGGGUGUGAGUUAAUACCUCAUAUCUGUGACGUUACUGACAGAAGAAGCACCGGCUAACUCCGUGCCAGCAGCCGCGGUAAUACGGAGGGUGCGAGCGUUAAUCGGAAUUACUGGGCGUAAAGCGUACGCAGGCGGUUUGUUAAGCGAGAUGUGAAAGCCCCGGGCUCAACCUGGGAACUGCAUUUCGAACUGGCAAACUAGAGUGUGAUAGAGGGUGGUAGAAUUUCAGGUGUA
RNAcentral lists this ribosomal RNA (673 nucleotides) under uncultured bacterium. RNAcentral's name for it is "bacterial SSU rRNA". It matches the Rfam family "Bacterial small subunit ribosomal RNA", at positions 9 to 677 of the family's 1533-position model. The record is from RNAcentral.